GAUGAACGCUGGCGGCGUGCCUAAUACAUGCAAGUCGAGCGAACCGACGGGGAGCUUGCUCCUCUGACGUUAGCGGCGGACGGGUGAGUAACACGUGGUUAACCUAACUCUAAGACUGGGAUAACUUCGGGAAACCGGAGCUAAUACCGGAUAAUAUAUUGAACCGCAUGGUUCACUCGUGGAAGACGGUUUUGCUGUCACUUAUAGAUUGAUCCGCGUCGCAUUCGUUAGUUGGUAAGGUAACGGCUUACCAAGGCAACGAUGCGUAGCCGACCUGGGAGGGUGAUCCGCCACACUGGAACUGAGACACGGUCCAGACUCCUACGGGAGGCAGCAGUAGGGAAUCUUCCGCAAUGGGCGAAAGCCUGACGGAGCAACGCCGCGUGAGUGAUGAAGGUCUUCGGAUCGUAAAACUCUGUUAUUAGGGAAGAACAAAUGUGUAAGUAACUAUGCACGUCUUGACGGUACCUAAUCAGAAAGCCACGGCUAACUACGUG
RNAcentral lists this ribosomal RNA (497 nucleotides) under uncultured bacterium. RNAcentral's name for it is "partial 16S ribosomal RNA". It matches the Rfam family "Bacterial small subunit ribosomal RNA", at positions 28 to 507 of the family's 1533-position model. The record is from RNAcentral.